This 301-nucleotide ribosomal RNA is filed under the name uncultured bacterium. Its description in RNAcentral is "partial 16S ribosomal RNA". It matches the Rfam family "Bacterial small subunit ribosomal RNA", at positions 509 to 807 of the family's 1533-position model. The record is from RNAcentral.
CAGUAGCCGCGGGAAUACGUAGGGGGCAAGCGUUAUCCGGAAUUACUGGGUGUAAAGGGAGCGUAGACGGUUAAACAAGUCUGAAGUGAAAUGCCGGGGCUCAACCCCGGAGCUGCUUUGGGAACUGUAGAACUGGAGUGUCGGAGGGGUAAGCGGAAUUCCCAGUGUAGCGGUGAAAUGCGUAGAUAUUGGGAGGAACACCGGCGGCGAAGGCGGCUUACUGGACGACAACCGACGUUGAGGCUCGAAGGCGUGGGUAGCAAACAGGAUUAGAUACCCGAGUAGUCCCUGUCUCUUAUAC